UUACGGCGGCAAACAGCAAAAGGCCAGUGUUUGGAAACGAAGGGAAACCCUACAGAGUACAGAGCAUUGUCAGUGUCAGUAUGCGUUGACUGGCGUGGACUAAAGCGCAGUGACUACAGUCGUCAGAGCCAAGCGGAAAGGACGAAGGGAAGAAGCCGAGGAGUGCUCGGAAACGAAGGAUUCCCAGUCGCUCGUGUCGCGGAGAGGAAUUUGAGUGGGCCCUCCUGGUCUCGACGCUGUCGACGCUAUCGGAAAAUCAAGGUAACAGUUUCAGUGAUCAUCGUUCCAGUUUGUUUUGCUCAAGAUUAAAGGAAAGUAGAGAUGGAGGAAGAGGAGGAGGACAAGUAAAUUAUUCAUAAAUUAGUUAAUUAAUGGCAAAUUCCUGCAAAUUGUCGGAUAAUAUGGUGGCCCAAAUCCUGUCAAGUUUGCCACCUAAAUCCCCUGAUGCGGUUCAAAUGCGUCCACGAGUCCUGGCGUGAUCUGAUUGAUAGUCGCUUUGUGGCCAGCCACCUCUCGAAUUCGAAUAAUUCGAGUUCCUCCGCCCGCAUUGCCGUCAGGCAUAUUGUUGGUGGCGAGGAGGUUGAUAAGGAGGACGUUUUGGGUGUCAUUUCUUUAGUGGUACAGUACACUUUCAUAUUGUUUCAUUUAUUUCAUGAUCACAACCCAAAUUUAGAGCGAGCGAGCGUUUCUUGUUCAUUCAGUGGGGAAGAGGUAGAGGAAGAGUUAGACCAAUGGGCAGAGGAAAUGGGAGGGUCACAGGCAAAGGCGAUGAAACUCAAUUUGCAUCCUCUUCUCGAGCAGUAACUGAGAAAAUCGUACAUGCAUAAUUUACUUUGUUAACUUAAGGCUUAGUUUGAUAUUGUUGUUAGGGUUGAGGUGUGGGGAGGAAGAGGAAGAGGUAGUCAGGCCAUGCCAUGAUCAAGGCGAAUGGAGUUCACUCAGCGAUCUGCUGCAUUGCCUUCGUCUUCGCAAACUGUGACAAGAGGAAGAGGUCAAGGCAGGGCCAGUGGAGCAAUGGCAACUUCACAAGAUUUGCCCUUCCGACCAUCCACUUCGGUCAUUGCCAAGCCCGGGGGAAGAUCCAAACACUAAGCCAUGAAGUAUAUAAUCUGCUGUCGGAGUUGUGCAACCGAAAGCAACCUGAAGAGAAAGUUCCAUAUUGCUGCUUCUGAAUGAAUAGAGAGCUUCACCAAUUAUAAAGUCAAGAGCCCCAAUUCCGAUCACUAUCAUGCCUUGCAAGGCCUUAACAACAACAUUCAGCAUGUAAUUUUAAUGAAUUAUGUUUUGAAACCUCACUCAAUGGGGUUUUGAAUGGUAAGUUUAUUGCUUUAAUUAUUGGUAAGAAAUAAUUAAAUGCAUUAGACUAAUUGUGUUUUGUCUUUUAAACAUGUGGCACAAUCUAGAGGGGCGUAAGCUAUACAAGGGUUAUGGGGUGAGUAAAAACUAACUCUUAACUGACUGGCUUAAAUCCUGUAAACUAGUACAUCUAUGGUCCGUUUGGAAAUGCUUCUCUAGAAAGCAAUUUUACUGGAAGCUUUUUAAGUAGAUCCACGUAGAACUGCAGAACACUAACCUUAUAAUUAUGCUGAACACCGGGCAAGCCAAAUUUAAUUAGAGUGUUGCUUUAUUAUCUUCUCUACGUUUCCUUUAGUUGGAUGUAGUGCUUCAAAAAUAUAUUUUCAAGAGAUAUUCUCUCAUUGCAGAUUUUGAUCACCAUGUUUUCUUCUAUUUACUUUCCAUUGUUUCAAUUAAUCACAAUUGACACUAACCUAGAGCUUCACUAGAGUUCAGUUUCUCUAUACAUAUAAGAAGAGUAAUUUGCCGAUUCCCCCCCUUAACCUGUACCCCAUUGCCGAUAUUACCCAUAAAGUUUUGGUUUGGCCAAUUUUUUCCCUAAAAUACUAUGAAUAGAUAAUUUCUCCCUAGCUUCAAAUUUACCCAAAUUCCAUCCCAAAAAGUCACAUGUUGGUCGUUGAAUGUCCUUUUGUGUUUGUUAUAUUUCCUUUCUUAAUCUUAUUAUUGUCUUCUUUUUUUUUUUUUUUUUAAUUUUGAAAUGUGACAUUUUCAAUAGAAAGUUAGAUGAAGUAUGGGGUAACAUGGCCGUAUGCGGAAAUUGGCCCUUUAUGUUAAUUUAGUGGGAAAUCAUCAAAACACUCUUGAUUUAGGGAAAUAAUUGAGGUCAUUGAACAUAAAUAAAUUAGAAAGUAAAAAUAAUUCUAUUCUGA
Molecule: non-coding RNA, 2225 nt
Organism: Malus domestica (apple)
Lineage: Eukaryota; Viridiplantae; Streptophyta; Magnoliopsida; Rosales; Rosaceae
Source: RefSeq, a predicted model, not a curated record